GGGAAUGUGGCUUAGUGGUAAAGUGCUUGCCUAGCAUGCAUGAAGCCCUGGGUUUGAUUCCCCUGUAUCA
RNAcentral lists this transfer RNA (70 nucleotides) under Dipodomys ordii (Ord's kangaroo rat). It matches the Rfam family "tRNA". Rfam says of the family: Transfer RNA (tRNA) molecules are approximately 80 nucleotides in length. Their secondary structure includes four short double-helical elements and three loops (D, anti-codon, and T loops). Further hydrogen bonds mediate the characteristic L-shaped molecular structure. tRNAs have two regions of fundamental functional importance: the anti-codon, which is responsible for specific mRNA codon recognition, and the 3' end, to which the tRNAs corresponding amino acid is attached (by aminoacyl-tRNA synthetases). tRNAs cope with the degeneracy of the genetic code in two manners: having more than one tRNA (with a specific anti-codon) for a particular amino acid; and 'wobble' base-pairing, i.e. permitting non-standard base-pairing at the 3rd anti-codon position. Lineage: Eukaryota; Metazoa; Chordata; Mammalia; Rodentia; Heteromyidae. The record is from Rfam by way of RNAcentral.